RNAcentral lists this non-coding RNA (170 nucleotides) under Bradyrhizobium sp. Gha. The record is from RNAcentral. Lineage: Bacteria; Pseudomonadati; Pseudomonadota; Alphaproteobacteria; Hyphomicrobiales; Nitrobacteraceae.
GAAAGCCGUGUGCGUUGAAAGGUGCCCGCACGGUUUGGAGGGGGGCGUAGGGAUAUCCUCGCGGCUCGGUUCACGAGAGAUUCUAUGAGUAUUGUGCACCCUCACAGAAAGGAGCAAUCGUCAGUGCACGCCGCUCAAGCAAGCGGUUGCAACUCACUACCAACCCAAAC